CGGUACCCGACCGCUGAGGAGGCGAAAGCUUAGGGGAGCAAACAGGAUUAGAUACCCCUGGGUAGUCCCUAGCCCGUAGACGUUGGGGCACUAGGGUGUGGGCGGAAUCCAUUGACGUCUGCCCGUGCCCGUAGCUAACCGCAUUUAAGUGCCCCGCCUGGGGAGUACCGGUCGCAAGGCUAAAACUCCAAAGGAAUUGACGGGGGCCCGCACAAGGCGGCGGAGCCAUGCGGCUUAAUUCGAUGCAACCCGAAGAACCUUACCUGGACUUGACAUCCAUGGGAAAAGCCGUGGAAACACGGUGUGCUUAGCGUCCCAUGACAGGUGGUGCAUGGCUGUCGUCAGCUCGUGUCGUGAGAUGUUGGGUUAAGUCCCCGCAACGAGCGCAACCCUUGUCCUAUGUUGCCAGCGGGUUAUGCCCGGGGACUCAUAGGAGACUGCCCGGGGACAACUCGGAGGAAGGCGGGGACGACGUCCAAGUCAUCCAUGCCCCUUAUGUCCAGGGCUGCACGCAUGCUACCAAUGGCGGAUACAACGGGCUGCGAUCCCGCGAGGGU
Molecule: ribosomal RNA, 557 nt
Filed under: uncultured bacterium
Lineage: Bacteria
Description: bacterial SSU rRNA
Rfam family: Bacterial small subunit ribosomal RNA
Source: RNAcentral